CAGGAGCUGGAAGCCAAGAGCAUCUAUGAUGUUGGCCAUAGCAUCCUCACCACCAAAAUCUAACACGUUGUGAGACCAAGAAACAUUGAAAUGGAAUAAGGAAAAUACCCAACCCUAUGGAGAAAUCAAGAAAGCAUAUAAAUGAAAUCAACCACUGAGCACUUUACAUAUACAGUGGUAGCAUGUGUCAUGAACUUAAUCUGUUCCACAGUGCUGGGGAAGAUGGCCACAGUCCUGUUCUUUGCCGGAUGCAAAGCUCGUGAAGAGAAGCAAAAUUUUUGAACUGCAUUCUUUGCAAAUAAUUCUUCACACACAGAAGCGUUCAUGAACGAAGGUGUUGCUAUAUUGUAGAGUUGCUGGUGUAGAUUAUUAGUGGAGUGUGUGCUUAGUUUGGAUUUAAUCUGUAGCCCACACAUGGAGCAUUGCAGUUCUCAUGGCUUCUCUGGUGAAGUAAAGGAGAAUGGAAGGUUGUAGGAGGAUCAAGGAGUGUUGUCUGGUUUUCUUUUUAAGAUUGAAUGGGAAAUGCAAACUCUUCGUCACAAAUGCCAGUGGUGGUGGAGCAUACGGAAUGUACACAGCAGAUGUUCCAGGUAGCAAUAUCUUCAAAAUCAUUUAUAAAUCCAGCAACUUCAUGGUGAUUUAUGCAAUCUAUAUGGAGGGGGAACACUCUCUGGAUCACACACGUCUCACUUUGGCACUUGGGACUGGAAGAAGUAUGAGUGAGGAAGAGAGGGAGAAAUAUGAAGAACUCACUGCCUUGUGCAACAUUUCACCGCAAAACAUAAGAUACCUCACCGAAGCAGAUACCUGUCCUGAUUAAGGCCAUAGCGAUGAUGAGGAAGAACCAGGAAUAUUUUUAUCAUCAUCUUCUCCGUGGCAUCAAGAUCAUCAAUGUGAAGAGCAGAUAAGCUCUGUCUUUCCUGAGAUACCAUGAACCCUGCCUAACAGCUUUUCUUCCCAAGCUCACCUAUGUCCUACUUCAUGUUUCUCUUUUUCAUAGUUGAUUAAAUAAACCGAAAUAGGUACACAUGUGUCUCUGAAGAAAGGUACUAAAU
RNAcentral lists this long non-coding RNA (1055 nucleotides) under Chinchilla lanigera (long-tailed chinchilla). RNAcentral describes it as "lncRNA (ENSCLAG00000026698.1)". The record is from RNAcentral. Lineage: Eukaryota; Metazoa; Chordata; Mammalia; Rodentia; Chinchillidae.